GGUUAAGCGACUAAGCGUACACGGUGGAUGCCUAGGCAGUCAGAGGCGAUGAAGGGCGUGCUAAUCUGCGAAAAGCGUCGGUAAGGUGAUAUGAACCGUUAUAACCGACGAUACCCGAAUGGGGAAACCCAGUGCAAUUCGUUGCACUAUUGCAUGGUGAAUACAUAGCCAUGCAAGGCGAACCGGGGGAACUGAAACAUCUAAGUACCCCGAGGAAAAGAAAUCAACCGAGAUUCCCCCAGUAGCGGCGAGCGAACGGGGAGGAGCCCAGAACCUGAAUCAGCGUAUGUGUUAGUGGAAGCGUCUGGAAAGUCGCACGGUACAGGGUGAUAGUCCCGUACACAAAAAUGCAUAUGUUGUGAGUUCGAUGAGUAGGGCGGGACACGUGACAUCCUGUCUGAAUAUGGGGGGACCAUCCUCCAAGGCUAAAUACUCCUGACUGACCGAUAGUGAACCAGUACCGUGAGGGAAAGGCGAAAAGAACCCCGGCGAGGGGAGUGAAACAGAACCUGAAACCGUGUACGUACAAGCAGUGGGAGCACCUUCGUGGUGUGACUGCGUACCUUUUGUAUAAUGGGUCAGCGACUUAUAUUUUGUAGCAAGGUUAACCGAAUAGGGGAGCCGUAGGGAAACCGAGUCUUAACUGGGCGAAUAGUUGCAAGGUAUAGACCCGAAACCCGGUGAUCUAGCCAUGGGCAGGUUGAAGGUUGGGUAACACUAACUGGAGGACCGAACCGACUAAUGUUGAAAAAUUAGCGGAUGACUUGUGGCUGGGGGUGAAAGGCCAAUCAAACCGGGAGAUAGCUGGUUCUCCCCGAAAGCUAUUUAGGUAGCGCCUCGUGAACUCAUCUUCGGGGGUAGAGCACUGUUUCGGCUAGGGGGUCAUCCCGACUUACCAAACCGAUGCAAACUCCGAAUACCGAAGAAUGUUAUCACGGGAGACACACGGCGGGUGCUAACGUCCGUCGUGAAGAGGGAAACAACCCAGACCGCCAGCUAAGGUCCCAAAGUCAUGGUUAAGUGGGAAACGAUGUGGGAAGGCACAGACAGCCAGGAUGUUGGCUUAGAAGCAGCCAUCAUUUAAAGAAAGCGUAAUAGCUCACUGGUCGAGUCGGCCUGCGCGGAAGAUGUAACGGGGCUAAACCAUGCACCGAAGCUGCGGCAGCGAACGUAUCACUUAAAACGCUUAACGUGACGGCAAAGCCGGCAUGUUCAAGCCACACUAAACGUUGAGUUGGCCGAUGUGCUGACAAACGAACAGGCGUUUUAAGGAUACGUUCGUUGGGUAGGGGAGCGUUCUGUAAGCCGUUGAAGGUGGUCUGUGAGGGCUGCUGGAGGUAUCAGAAGUGCGAAUGCUGACAUAAGUAACGAUAAUGCGGGUGAAAAACCCGCACGCCGGAAGACCAAGGGUUCCUGUCCAACGUUAAUCGGGGCAGGGUGAGUCGACCCCUAAGGCGAGGCUGAAAAGCGUAGUCGAUGGGAAACAGGUUAAUAUUCCUGUACUUGGUGUUACUGCGAAGGGGGGACGGAGAAGGCUAGGCUAGCCGGGCGACGGUUGUCCCGGUUUAAGCAUGUAGGCGGAGUGACCAGGUAAAUCCGGUUGCUUAUCAACGCUGAGGUGUGAUGACGAUGCACUACGGUGCAGAAGUAGUUGAUGCCAUGCUUCCAGGAAAAGCCUCUAAGCAUCAGGUAACAUGAAAUCGUACCCCAAACCGACACAGGUGGUCAGGUAGAGAAUACUCAGGCGCUUGAGAGAACUCGGGUGAAGGAACUAGGCAAAAUGGUGCCGUAACUUCGGGAGAAGGCACGCUGGCAUUAGGUAAAGGGACUUGCUCCCGGCGCCGAAGCCAGUCGCAGAUACCAGCUGGCUGCAACUGUUUAAUAAAAACACAGCACUGUGCAAACACGAAAGUGGACGUAUACGGUGUGACGCCUGCCCGGUGCUGGAAGGUUAAUUGAUGGGGUCAGCCGCAAGGCGAAGCUCUUGAUCGAAGCCCCAGUAAACGGCGGCCGUAACUAUAACGGUCCUAAGGUAGCGAAAUUCCUUGUCGGGUAAGUUCCGACCUGCACGAAUGGCGUAAUGAUGGCCAGGCUGUCUCCACCCGAGACUCAGUGAAAUUGAACUCGCUGUGAAGAUGCAGUGUACCCGCGGCAAGACGGAAAGACCCCGUGAACCUUUACUAUAGCUUGACACUGAACAUUGAGCCUUGAUGUGUAGGAUAGGUGGGAGGCAUAGAAGUGUGGACGCCAGUCUGCAUGGAGCCAACCUUGAAAUACCACCCUUUAAUGUUUGAUGUUCUAACUCGGCCCCGUAAUCCGGGGUGAGGACAGUGUCUGGUGGGUAGUUUGACUGGGGCGGUCUCCUCCCAAAGAGUAACGGAGGAGCACGAAGGUUAGCUAAUCACGGUCGGACAUCGUGAGGUUAGUGCAAAGGCAUAAGCUAGCUUGACUGCGAGAGUGACGGCUCGAGCAGGUACGAAAGUAGGUCUUAGUGAUCCGGUGGUUCUGAAUGGAAGGGCCAUCGCUCAACGGAUAAAAGGUACUCCGGGGAUAACAGGCUGAUACCGCCCAAGAGUUCAUAUCGACGGCGGUGUUUGGCACCUCGAUGUCGGCUCAUCACAUCCUGGGGCUGAAGUAGGUCCCAAGGGUAUGGCUGUUCGCCAUUUAAAGUGGUACGCGAGCUGGGUUUAGAACGUCGUGAGACAGUUCGGUCCCUAUCUGCCGUGGGCGUUGGAAGAUUGAGAGGGGCUGCUCCUAGUACGAGAGGACCGGAGUGGACGAAUCACUGGUGUUCGGGUUGUCAUGCCAAUGGCAUUGCCCGGUAGCUAAAUUCGGAAGAGAUAACCGCUGAAAGCAUCUAAGCGGGAAACUUGCCUCGAGAUGAGUCUUCCCUGGGGCUUUAAGCCCCUGAAGGAACGUUAAAGACGAUGACGUUGAUAGGCUGGGUGUGUAAGUGCAGCGAUGCAUUGAGCUAACCAGUACUAAUGAACCGUGAGGCUUAACCUU
This 3006-nucleotide ribosomal RNA is filed under the name Yersinia enterocolitica subsp. palearctica. Its description in RNAcentral is "23S ribosomal RNA". It matches the Rfam family "Bacterial large subunit ribosomal RNA". The record is from RNAcentral. Lineage: Bacteria; Pseudomonadati; Pseudomonadota; Gammaproteobacteria; Enterobacterales; Yersiniaceae.